GUGUUUGGAUAUCUGUAAAUGAUAAACAAGAUGGCAAACAAAUAAAAAUCCAGAAUGUGAGGCUUUCAGGUGAAAUGGUCUUUAACCAUGUUUCUGGCUACAGCCUUCAUCAAAAGAAUUUCUAUCAGCAGGGGGAGCAGAGCUUAACAUUAAGACGAAGAUGAGGAAAUUGAGGGCAGGUAAUUUGCCCAAGGUACCAAGCAAGUACACGCUGGACCACUAUUUUGAACCAGGGCUGUCCAGGUCCCCGUGUCACCAAGAUUCAGAGGAAAACUGGCCCACUUUGAACUGCCAGACAUAGAAACUUCCCUGAAGAUAUGGCUCUUGCUCUAUGGAAAAUCUGUCAGGCUGACUCAGUUUCUCUAGCACAAGUGAAAACGAGCUGGUUAGAACAGACCGGUUUGAAGCAAGUGUACAAUUCCUCGCCUUCAGAUGAGGAAACAUAGGCUCUUAGAUAUUAAGUAACCAGCCAAGAAGAUACAGCUAGUAAAUGAUGGAGCAGAAUUGAAAUCCAAGCCCCCUUGACACCAUGGUUCACACCCGUAAUCACUGCACCCUACUUGUACAACUCAUGUGGAGUGGCUCCAGCAUGAAUUUUGGAGUUUGGGAGCUGGAUAGCCCCAGAGUCACAUUCUCGCUUUAUUACUCAGUUGGACCACAUAACCAACCUUUCUAAACGUUGGUCUCUUCAUCUGCAAAAGGUAGGAACCUUAAUGCUUAGCUUUCAGGGUUGUGAGUAAAGAAGUACUUUUGUAACCAUAUUGCAUCCAAAGACCUGGUUCAGUCUCAGAACCGGAAUCCCUUUGCACAGCAGGAACACAAAGCUCUUACAACAAUAACUGCUGUUGUGUUUUGUUUCACUUACAAAGCCUCUAGCCCAUGGUACACAUGCAAUAAGUAUGUAGCUAUUCGAAUUCUUGUUUUUAAAUAUACUUUCAAGUUACAUCUUUAAAUAACUAACUCAAUUUAUCUGAUUGAAAUGUUACUUAAAUCAAGCUCCUUCUCUACCCCAUCCUCCACGUUUUAAAAGACUCUCAGUCGUUUCUCCUCAUUUGUACUGAAACAGAGUGAGAUGUAUAGCAGAAGCACGAUCUCAGCCUCAAGCUACGUCCCUCGAAAUUUUAGAUUGACUUGUACAUAUUUAGAAAUCUGAAUAAAUAAACCCCCAGGACCAAGAUGCUCCUGGAAAAGAAGUCAAGAGGUGAGGCCCACCUACUGGCCUGGUUUGAGUACAAGGACAACCUCAGGGUUGGAGAGGAAAUGGAUCUGUGCCACACAGAUUUUCCACUGACCCAGCUCAUGGGAAUUUCUGUCUGAUUUGACACAGCAGUCCCUACUUCUUCCUUCUUCCAAGAUUUUCCUGUAUAAGACUCUUGUCUUGCUAUAAUUUAACCUUCACACAGCAGCCGGAAGGGUCUCUCUAAAAUGUAAAUCAGAUCCUGCCAACUGCCCUGCCCUAUUUAAAACUUCCAACAGCUACCCACUGCAUGGUUAAAAUCCAAACCCUUUAUCAUGGCUUACAAGAUCCUUACAAAAGUUGCCCCUGACUACCUCUUUAAACUCAUUUCUUUCCACCUGUCACUUCAUUGUGACACUCCAGCUAUAAUGGCCUUCUUCUAUCAUUCCUGCCUCAGGGCAUUUGCCCUUGGUGUUCCUUCUUCCUAGAACCCACCUUAGCUAAAACAGCCUUCCCAGAAACUCUUAUUACACUAUCCUAGGCCAUCUGUCUUCAUAGUACUUACCAGCACGGGAAAUUAGCUUGUUGGAAUAUAAGCUCUAGUAUCGGGAAUGGUAGCUGGUAAACAGUAGGUUCUCACUGUUCUCUGCACCCAUCCUCCUCCCUCCCCUGCCAGUUUCCAAUCCCUGCUCUAUACCCUGGAUUUCAGCACAGCUCUGCCCAUCUUGGCUUGGUAACCCACUUGGAUUUCAUUGUCUGUUUUUCUGACCUCAGCCCAGUUGACUCUUUUGACUCCAUUUGACUCCCGGUCCUUCAGAUUCCUUGGAUUUCAGAAUCAUUCAGAAUGUUGCUUGAGAAACACUUCUGCCAUCCUAGCCUGGCCCCAAGCCCAUUUCUCAGUGAAAGAGCUCCGUCUGCUAGCUCAUGUGGGAGCAGCCAUCUACACUGGCUCUCAGGACUAUAGAAGUCUUCACCCGAAGAGGCCCACUUUGACCACUGGACCUUGAAGCAGUUAAAGUAAAAACAGAAACACACGCUAUUUCAAAGGAGGCAAGAUCCCUUCUCAGUGACUUUCUUCGUAUCAGGCAGCCCAAACCACUGGGCUAUCCAGAAAAUAGGACUGUCGGGAUGUGACUGAAGCUUGUCUGACCAGACCAAUUGUCUGGCCCUGGAACGAUGCUUCCAUCUCAUUCUGGGGGUGGCCAUCAUGAGACAGUCUAUCACACAUGGUAUCACACAAUGAUUCCCUGCUACACGCAGAAAGCCACAACCGAACUCCAUGAUCUAAACUCCAUGAUCCAUACUAGGUGUCAGAUAUUUUAUGGUCAUGCUUCCACUUAAUUUUCACAAUAAAAUUAAGGUAGAUGAUUAUCCCCAUUUAACAGAUAAGAAAAUCAAGGCUCGGAGACAGGUAAAGUCAUUUGCUCAAGGUCAUGUAACAAAUGAGUGGGAGAACCUGAAUUUCUGAUUCCAAAGUUCAUGCGCACAAUCCCAACCCUCUACGUAUUCAAUCAUGGAUCUCUUCUCACACACACGCACACACACACACACACACACACACGCACACACAAUUAUAUACUCCUCAAGAGCUGGAAUUUAUUUCCUGUUCAUCAUUCACAUAACACAGGGACUGACCCUUAGCGAAUGGUCAGCAUAUUUUGCAAAUGCGAUCCUGAUACUAUUGCAUUAAUGUUAUAAUUUAUAUAUACUAUAAUUAAUAGAUUAAUAUAAACAUGCACGGCCAUAACACUCCACUGUUGGCUUUCCUAUUCCCUGCUACUGGUCAUUUGGACUACUUCUAAUUUUCAGUUUUGCUGUCCAAUACAGUAACUUGCUCUUACUAGAACAUGGCGUGGGAGGGAGUGAGGAGUAGAAGAUGAACGUAAUAAAGGAAAAAUAACCCUGCGUCUUUCAUGGGACCAUUCAGAGGGAAUCCAAUUAAGUAACAGACUAAUUACACAAAAUAGAGAAAUAAUUCUGGGAUUAUGAUAACAAAAUUGCCAGGCUUUUCUAGUAAUCUUCAAUACCACAAGUUUCAUUAGAAAAGCAGAUGUGUUUAUUAUAUUGUAAAAUACCCAAUACUAUCCUCGUUAGGCAAGAUUCAAAAUGUUUUCAAAACUGAAUACUGGUGUACAAAACAGAAGUGUCAAAAUUCUAUAAAGGAAAAAAUAUGUGGCUAUCUUUUAGCACACUGAAUUUGGUUAGUCAUGUGCCAGAAGUAUUAAAAUAUAUAUACAGCA
This is a long non-coding RNA of Herpailurus yagouaroundi (jaguarundi), 3417 nucleotides long. RefSeq lists it as uncharacterized. The transcript is spliced from 3 exons. The record is from RefSeq and is a predicted model, not a curated record. NCBI's taxonomy places the organism in Eukaryota, Metazoa, Chordata, Mammalia, Carnivora, Felidae.